This 219-nucleotide ribosomal RNA is filed under the name Clostridioides sp. ZZV14-6045. RNAcentral's name for it is "partial 16S ribosomal RNA". It matches the Rfam family "Bacterial small subunit ribosomal RNA", at positions 1315 to 1533 of the family's 1533-position model. Lineage: Bacteria; Bacillati; Bacillota; Clostridia; Peptostreptococcales; Peptostreptococcaceae. The record is from RNAcentral.
CCUACAUGAAGCUGGAGUUACUAGUAAUCGCAGAUCAGAAUGCUGCGGGGAAUGCGUUCCCGGGUCUUGUACACACCGCCCGUCACACCACGGGGGUUGGAGACGCCCGAAGCCGAUUAUCUAACCUGUUGGAAGAAGUCGUCGAAGGUGGAAUCAAUAACUGGGGUGAAGUCGUAACAAGGUAGCCGUAUCGGAAGGUGCGGCUGGAUCACCUCCUUU